This is a long non-coding RNA of Gorilla gorilla gorilla (western lowland gorilla), 1289 nucleotides long. RefSeq lists it as uncharacterized. Lineage: Eukaryota; Metazoa; Chordata; Mammalia; Primates; Hominidae. The transcript has 3 exons. The record is from RefSeq and is a predicted model, not a curated record.
AGUAGCAACUCUCUCUGGUUCCUUUACACAGUAUGGAAGCUUUGUUCUUUUGGUCUUCACACUAAAUCUUGUUGCUGCUCAGUGUUUGGAUCCGCACGGCGUUUGUGAGCUGUAACACUCACCGUGAAGGUCUGCGUCUUUGCUCCUGAAGCCAGCGCGAAGGUGUGCAGCUUCAGUCCUGAAGCCAGCGAGAUGGCGAACCCGCCAGGAGGGACGAACAACUCCGGCCAGGAGGAACAAACUUCUCCAGACGGGGCGCCGCCUUUAAGAACUGUAACACUCACCGCGAAGGUCUGUAGCUUUGCUCCUGAAGCCAGCGAGACCACGAACCCACCAGAAUAAAGAAACUCCGGACACAUCUGUAAGAACUCACCGCGAGGGUCUGCGGCUUCAUUACUGAAGUCAGCGAGACCAAGAACCCACCAAUUCUGGACACAAUUGGAUACUAUAAUCGAUAAAGUAGAGACGGGGUUUCACCGUGUUAGCCAGGAUGGUCUCGAUCUCCUGACCUCGUGAUCCGCCCACCUCGGCCUCCCAAAGUGCUGGCAUGAAAAGAGCUUAUUCUGUACAGAUAUAAUCAUUGUUUUUGAUGUGGGGAACCUUUUCCACCUAACGGAUGGCUUCAAAAGAAUCUGAAGCAAAGCUGAGAAUUUAGGAUUUGAGAAUGGCCAUUUGGAAAUUUUCUUCACCAGAAAUAAAACUACUGAAGUCUUCCUGAUCUUUGACCGGGAUUUUUUCCUGUCCCUUUUGGAGGUGGUAUUUUAAUUUUAAUUUGCUUUUCUCAGUGCUCGAAUGCUUAUAUACCUUAAUGCUUUGAAGAAAGUUAAAUAUUAAAAGUAGCUGAGUUAAAAACAUCCCUCUAGUUAAAUUUGUAAAAAUAAUUAGAAGCCUACUUUGCAUUCCAAUUUCAGCGGUUGCCUAAAGUUCCUAACAAUUAUCAUUAAUUCAUUUUCUAAAGUAUUGACAUUUCAUUGUAUUGUUGAACUGUGCUGGUAAAAGGAACAUUUCCAAUUAUUCUCUUUACCAACCAGAUUUCAAGAAAAAAAAAAAGCCUAAAAGGAUUAUUUAAGUAUCACAUUAUCUUGAUAGAACAGUACAUGAUGUUUUCUCUGGUUUUCAGAGAAGUAUAUGUAAUAUUCAUAAGGUCUUCUUAACCUAACCUGCUUUUUUUGGCUAGUAAUUUCUCUACUUCUUAAUGUCACAAAGAUUAAUGUAAUUGUGUAAAGAUUAAUUACAAGAGUACUUAAUCUUUUUAAAUAAAGACAAUGUCAAGAAAAAUAACACUAAAA